GCAAGGAGACAGGUCAUUGGAAGAGAAACUGUAAGAAAUACCUAGAGCAGCUCAAGCAGAAGCAGCAGGAUGGAAAGAGUUCCACCUCAGGGGCUGAAAAGAAGUAGGAGCUUAGCAAGAGGCGAAGUGGACAUUCGCGUGGGCAAUGGAGCAAGAGUUGCUGCUGUUGCGGUCGACACUAUGCCAUUAUCUUUACCGUUAGGAUUAGUUUUGGAGUUAAAUAAUUGUUAUUGCAUUCCAGCUUUGUGUAAGAACGUUAUCUCUGCUUCUUGUUUGCAAGCAGAGGGUUAUGGUUUUAGAUCUAUGGACAAUGGUUGUUCAGUCUAUUAUAAUGACAUUUUCUAUUUCCAUGCACCCAUGAUGAAUGGCUUAUACAUUGUGAAUCUUGAUGGAUGUUCAGUCUA
Oryza sativa Japonica Group (Japanese rice) is the source of this 404-nucleotide non-coding RNA. The record is from RefSeq and is a predicted model, not a curated record. NCBI's taxonomy places the organism in Eukaryota, Viridiplantae, Streptophyta, Magnoliopsida, Poales, Poaceae.